Cordylochernes scorpioides is the source of this 73-nucleotide non-coding RNA. Lineage: Eukaryota; Metazoa; Arthropoda; Arachnida; Pseudoscorpiones; Chernetidae. The record is from the annotation of a GenBank genome assembly.
GGUUUGUUGGAAGAGUGGUAUAUACUGUUGAUCUUCUACAACUACUACCCGGGUUCGAAUCCCGCAUUGGCCA